UACGGGGGGAGCAAGCGUUGUUCGGAUUUACUGGGCGUAAAGGGCGCGUAGGCGGCCACCGCAAGUCGACUGUGAAAUCUCCGGGCUUAACCCGGAAGGUCAGCCGAUACUGCGGGGCUAGAGUGCAGAAGGGGCAACUGGAAUUCUCGGUGUAGCGGUGAAAUGCGUAGAUAUCGAGAGGAACACCUGCGGCGAAGGCGGGUUGCUGGGCUGACACUGACGCUGAUGCGCGAAAGCUAGGGGAGCGAACGGG
Molecule: ribosomal RNA, 253 nt
Filed under: uncultured bacterium
Lineage: Bacteria
Description: partial 16S ribosomal RNA
Rfam family: Bacterial small subunit ribosomal RNA
Source: RNAcentral